This 459-nucleotide ribosomal RNA is filed under the name uncultured Zoogloea sp. RNAcentral's name for it is "bacterial SSU rRNA". It matches the Rfam family "Bacterial small subunit ribosomal RNA", at positions 923 to 1382 of the family's 1533-position model. Lineage: Bacteria; Pseudomonadati; Pseudomonadota; Betaproteobacteria; Rhodocyclales; Zoogloeaceae. The record is from RNAcentral.
GCACAAGCGGUGGAUGAUGUGGAUUAAUUCGAUGCAACGCGAAAAACCUUACCUACCCUUGACAUGCCAGGAACCCUGCUGAGAGGUGGGGUGCUCGAAAGAGAGCCUGGACACAGGUGCUGCAUGGCUGUCGCCAGCUCGUGUCGUGAGAUGUUGGGUUAAGUCCCGCAACGAGCGCAACCCUUGUCAUUAGUUGCCAUCAUUCAGUUGGGCACUCUAAUGAGACUGCCGGUGACAAACCGGAGGAAGGUGGGGAUGACGUCAAGUCCUCAUGGCCCUUAUAGGUGGGGCUACACACGUCAUACAAUGGAUGGUACAAAGGGUCGCCAACCCGCGAGGGGGAGCCAAUCCCAUAAAGCCAUUCGUAGUCCGGAUCGCAGUCUGCAACUCGACUGCGUGAAGUCGGAAUCGCUAGUAAUCGUGGAUCAGAAUGUCACGGUGAAUACGUUCCCGGGUCUU